Molecule: long non-coding RNA, 645 nt
Organism: Crotalus tigris (Tiger rattlesnake)
Lineage: Eukaryota; Metazoa; Chordata; Lepidosauria; Squamata; Viperidae
Exons: 3
Source: RefSeq, a predicted model, not a curated record
CGACCCCGCGUUCCCCCCUCCGCGGAACACGUGGUUUAGCAAUCCUGCCAGGACCACUUCGCCCUGAUGAGUCGCUUACAACUGACUCCUCGCAAUUCGGAUCAUCAGUGAGGAAGUUAGACUUUUUGGGAGGGUGGAGCUGCCACUUACUUUCCACUGACUUUCAUUUUUGUUUGGAUAGUAGUCUAUAAUCGAAGCAGUAAGCGCAAACCCAGAAUUAAACCUUCCAGCUGCUCUUCCCAGAAACCUCUUCCUUGCAAUACUAAACAAACAGGGAGUCCCAUCAACCGACAGAGGAAGGAAGAAAGAAGGCCUGGAUUAAAGUGCGAAGGAGCAGGCGAAGGCAACGAGCUGGGACAAAAAACGGAAAGGAUCUGAAAGGGAUGACCCUAGACGGAAGGCGCCAUCCAGCCGAAGCGGAUCCUAUGCCUAUUUAUUGGAAAAUAAAGGCGUUCCGUUGAACGGGACGGGACUCGGUCCCUGGUUAAGGGCUGCCGUUCAGGGGCGCCCCCCAGUUUCAGCCGCUUGCAUUUAUUUCAUGAGGAAAAUGCGACUUCUGAGGCUUCUUGAACGCGCUCCCCGCUUUCACACGAAGGGGGCCCUUUCAAAAAGCCUUGUCCCCAUUAAAGAAAUCCUCGACUCGAA